Molecule: ribosomal RNA, 694 nt
Filed under: uncultured bacterium
Lineage: Bacteria
Description: bacterial SSU rRNA
Rfam family: Bacterial small subunit ribosomal RNA
Source: RNAcentral
AACGCUAGCUACAGGCUUAACACAUGCAAGUCGAGGGGCAGCAUGGUCUUAGCUUGCUAAGGCCGAUGGCGACCGGCGCACGGGUGAGUAACACGUAUCCAACCUGCCGUCUACUCUUGGACAGCCUUCUGAAAGGAAGAUUAAUACAAGAUGUCAUCAUGAGUCCGCAUGUUCACAUGAUUAAAGGUAUUCCGGUAGACGAUGGGGAUGCGUUCCAUUAGAUAGUAGGCGGGGUAACGGCCCACCUAGUCUUCGAUGGAUAGGGGUUCUGAGAGGAAGGUCCCCCACAUUGGAACUGAGACACGGUCCAAACUCCUACGGGAGGCAGCAGUGAGGAAUAUUGGUCAAUGGGCGAGAGCCUGAACCAGCCAAGUAGCGUGAAGGAUGACUGCCCUAUGGGUUGUAAACUUCUUUUAUAAAGGAAUAAAGUCGGGUAUGGAUACCCGUUUGCAUGUACUUUAUGAAUAAGGAUCGGCUAACUCCGUGCCAGCAGCCGCGGUAAUACGGAGGAUCCGAGCGUUAUCCGGAUUUAUUGGGUUUAAAGGGAGCGUAGAUGGAUGUUUAAGUCAGUUGUGAAAGUUUGCGGCUCAACCGUAAAAUUGCAGUUGAUACUGGAUAUCUUGAGUGCAGUUGAGGCAGGCGGAAUUCGUGGUGUAGCGGUGAAAUGCUUAGAUAUCACGAAGAACUCCGAUUG